CUCUAAUAUUUUUUCUAGAUUAUAUAUUUUAAGGAAUAUAUACAAUGAAAUAUUAGAUAUUAAAGAGAUUUGUUCCUUCCUAAUUAAGGUAAAAAAGAAUCAAUAUAAUUUGUAUUAGUAAAAGAAAUUUGAAUAUACGAAUUAUAU
Molecule: non-coding RNA, 147 nt
Filed under: unclassified sequences
Description: RT-14 RNA
Rfam family: RT-14 RNA
About the family: Cloacimonetes, Firmicutes, Proteobacteria.
Source: Rfam by way of RNAcentral